AGCCAUGUGGGCAACUAGAUAAGUCGCCGGGGCUUUCAUCCCUGGAGAAGCGGGUUCGAAUCCCGUCAUGGCUU
RNAcentral lists this transfer RNA (74 nucleotides) under Spirulina sp. SIO3F2. RNAcentral's name for it is "tRNA-Glu". It matches the Rfam family "tRNA". From Rfam's summary of the family: Transfer RNA (tRNA) molecules are approximately 80 nucleotides in length. Their secondary structure includes four short double-helical elements and three loops (D, anti-codon, and T loops). Further hydrogen bonds mediate the characteristic L-shaped molecular structure. tRNAs have two regions of fundamental functional importance: the anti-codon, which is responsible for specific mRNA codon recognition, and the 3' end, to which the tRNAs corresponding amino acid is attached (by aminoacyl-tRNA synthetases). tRNAs cope with the degeneracy of the genetic code in two manners: having more than one tRNA (with a specific anti-codon) for a particular amino acid; and 'wobble' base-pairing, i.e. permitting non-standard base-pairing at the 3rd anti-codon position. Lineage: Bacteria; Bacillati; Cyanobacteriota; Cyanophyceae; Spirulinales; Spirulinaceae. The record is from RNAcentral.